GGGCUCUGCACAGCACACAACCCCACCGGCCUGGUGCCUAGCAAGGUCGCCUGCUGGCUGUUCCUGCACUUGCUCUACGUCAUUGAUACCACAUGCGUCUUGGAGACAGGACUUGAAAUAUUUACUUGGUCCCUACAAAAAGUGUCUCCCAUAGAGUAGGUGCUCAGGAAAUGCCAGCUGAUGCAUAGAUGCAUCUUGUGUAAAUCAGGAAAGAAAUCACGUGGUUCUGCGCCUGCAGGUGUCUGAUCAACCUGGGCCUCCCGUGGCCCCGGGGCAGGCGCACCUGCACAGCAAGGGGGCUGUAAAGAGGCCUAAAACUCUUCUGAGUUGAUGUCACAGAGCUAUGACCUGCAUGUUGUCCUAAGUGGGAGGGGUGAGGAGCGCUGCAGGAAGGCUCCUCCUUGGCAAGGACAUGGAUGGUUUCUCCAGAGUUCACCUGACUCCCCCGCCUCCAGCUUCAAGCAUCCAGGCGUCCCCCUCGUGGAACUGCCCGAUGCUCUGUUUGGGGAGCCUGCUAUAGUCGAAUUCCAGGAUGUGCCAGACAUCCACGGAGACACUGGUGAUCUCAAACUGCCUCCUGUCGUGCCCUUCCACCAGGCCAUAGCCACGGCCGACGUUCACCCCGUCCAGGAUGGUGCCCGCUGUCGUCUGGGGCAUGGACACCAUCCGCGUCACAUCGUACGGCUUGACGUCAGCCCUGGGGUCUUCCUACAGGGGAACAUGAAGGAUGCUUAA
Molecule: long non-coding RNA, 735 nt
Filed under: Aotus nancymaae (Ma's night monkey)
Lineage: Eukaryota; Metazoa; Chordata; Mammalia; Primates; Aotidae
Description: lncRNA (ENSANAG00000038625.1)
Source: RNAcentral